AGAGUUUGAUCAUGGCUCAGAAUGAACGCUGGCGGCAUGCCUAACACAUGCAAGUCGAACGAAGGCUUCGGCCUUAGUGGCGCACGGGUGCGUAACGCGUGGGAAUCUGCCCUCAGGUUCGGAAUAACAGCGAGAAAUUGCUGCUAAUACCGGAUGAUAUCGCGAGAUCAAAGAUUUAUCGCCUGAGGAUGAGCCCGCGUAGGAUUAGCUAGUUGGUGUGGUAAAGGCGCACCAAGGCGACGAUCCUUAGCUGGUCUGAGAGGAUGAUCAGCCACACUGGGACUGAGACACGGCCCAGACUCCUACGGGAGGCAGCAGUGGGGAAUAUUGGACAAUGGGCGAAAGCCUGAUCCAGCAAUGCCGCGUGAGUGAUGAAGACCUUAGGGUUGUAAAGCUCUUUUACCCGGGAUGAUAAUGACAGUACCGGGAGAAUAAGCUCCGGCUAACUCCGUGCCAGCAGCCGCGGUAAUA
This 471-nucleotide ribosomal RNA is filed under the name uncultured Sphingomonas sp. Its description in RNAcentral is "bacterial SSU rRNA". It matches the Rfam family "Bacterial small subunit ribosomal RNA", at positions 8 to 525 of the family's 1533-position model. The record is from RNAcentral. Lineage: Bacteria; Pseudomonadati; Pseudomonadota; Alphaproteobacteria; Sphingomonadales; Sphingomonadaceae.